UGCGUAACAGCUCACUGGUCGAGUGGACAUGCGCCGACAAUACACGGGGCUAAGCUGGACACCGAAGCGGCGGGAUUUUGAUUUUCAGAAUCGGUAGGGGAGCUUCCCAUGGGCGGUGAAGCCGCCGGGCGACCGACGGUGGAGCGCAUGGGAGUGAGAAUGCUGGCAUGAGUAGCGAGAGACGAGAGAGUAACUCGUCCGCCGUGAACCCGAGGUUUCCUGGGCAAGGCUAAUCCUCCCAGGGUCAGUCGGGGGCUAAGGCGAGGCCGGUAGGCGUAGCCGACGCGCAGCAGGCAGACAUUCCUGCACCGCGCACGCGGCGCUACGACCGACGGGGCGACGGAUGGGGGUGGCUCGGCGGGGUUCUGGACGUCCCCGUGAUGGAGCGCGGCCCGCGGACCAGGGAAAUCCGGUCCGCACGAGGGCGAGGCUCCGGACGAAGCGAUCAAGCGAAGCGAGUGAGCCCGAGGUCCCUAGAAAAACCCCUAGGCAGGCGCGUGCGCGCCCGUACCGCAAACCGACACAGGUGGGUGGGUAGAACAUACCGAGGCGAUCGGGUCAACCAUGGUCAAGGAACUCGGCACAAUGGCCCCGUAACUUCGGGAGAAGGGGUGCCCGCGCGUACGUGAACGGACUUGCUCCGGGAGCGGAGGCGGGCCGCAGUGGAGAGGCCCAAGCGACUGUUUACCAAAAACACAGGACUCUGCAGAAGCCGCAAGGCGACGUAUAGGGUCUGACGCCUGCCCGGUGCCGGAAGGUCACGCGGAGGAGUUAGCGCAUCGCGCGAAGCCCCGAAGCCAAGCCCCGGUAAACGGCGGCCGUAACUAUAACGGUCCUAAGGUAGCGAAAUUCCUUGUCGGGUAAGUUCCGACCUGCACGAAAGGCGCAACGACUUGGGCGCUGUCUCGACCAUGGACCCGGUGAAAUUGCACUGGUCGUGAAGAUGCGACUUACCCGCGGAAGGACGGAGAGACCCCGUGAACCUUCACUGCAGCUUGGCAUUGGCCGCUGGUCCCGCGUGUAGAGGAUAGGCAGGAGGCACAGAUCCGGAGGCGCCAGCCCCCGGGGAGCCGCCCUUGGAAUACUGCCCUCGCGCGACCGGCGUCCUAACCCGAGGCCGUCAACCGGCUCGGGGACCGUGCCAGGCGGGCAGUUUGACUGGGGCGGUCGCCUCCUAAAGGGUAACGGAGGCGCGCGAAGGUCCGCUCGGGACGGUCGGCAACCGUCCUUUUGAAUGCAAGAGUACAAGCGGGCUUGACUGCGAGGCCCACAAGCCGAGCAGGUGCGAAAGCAGGCUCUAGUGAUCCGGCGGCC
This 1314-nucleotide ribosomal RNA is filed under the name human gut metagenome. RNAcentral describes it as "bacterial LSU rRNA". It matches the Rfam family "Bacterial large subunit ribosomal RNA", at positions 1131 to 2428 of the family's 2925-position model. The record is from RNAcentral.